Molecule: long non-coding RNA, 4413 nt
Filed under: Podarcis lilfordi (Lilford's wall lizard)
Lineage: Eukaryota; Metazoa; Chordata; Lepidosauria; Squamata; Lacertidae
Source: RNAcentral
UGGAGAAGAAGGCGGGAACGCUGCAAACGCACACGCCCUGCUCCGCGUUGAGCAAAGCGCAACCUGUGCGCCCCUUUUGAUCGCGCGCCAGGAGGGCGUGCAAGAUCCGAGUUUACUUAUUUAUUUUUUAAAAAGCAGGGGAGCACAGCGAUUGUUUCUCUCUCUCUCUCUUUUUUUUAUCUGCGCGAUCAGGAUUAUGCCGCUUCAGCGUCAGGUUUGCGCGUUUGGAAACCAGCCCUUUAUUUUGGGAAGAGACACCAAGGAGGUCACAUCCAAAGGUGACACCCGAAAUCCUUGGUUACCCCCCACUUCUCUUGGCCCCUAAUCUGCACACUUGGGUUUCUUCGCUUUUCUGUUCCCCCACCAAGAGAGAGAGAGAGAGAAAGAGGGAAAAGGAGAAACCUACUUCGAUAAGUUUAUUUGCAAGAAGUAAACACCUCAAAAGCUUCCACUGAGCACCGCGCCCCCUUUUAAAGCCUAGGAAUAGUAGGUCAGUUUCGGGUCAUGGCAGAGCUGCUAAACAAUAGGCUUAGCUCGAUUUCGAUGUUAAUUCGGAUGGCGGGGAGCGAAGCUGGGUUCGAGUUGCUUGCAAAGAGCCCGUUAGCCCCCUUUUUUUACCAGGCUUGAACUCUCCAGGCGGCAUUUCAGGCUUCCCUCCUAGGCCCAAGUUUGGCCUGGUGUGCCUAACUGCGUCACCUAACCUUACCCUUACCUCACAGGGUUGUUGUGAAGAUGAAAUGGUGUGUGUGUGUGUGUAUGGAGGGGAACCAUUUGCACCACCUUGAGCUCCUUGGAAAAUAAAGGUGGCGUUUAAAUGCAAUAAAUAAAUACAAAUAAACAGUGAGCAAAUGCUGUUGAGGAGUGAGGCCUUUCCCUCACCCCUAAGCUGUCAAUAGGCAACAUUUUUAUUCAUUUCUUUUAAGCAAGCUAUAUCCCAGGGACAUCAUUUCCCUAUGUUUCUUCAAUGGUACCAGCCUGGCAAUGGGGUGUUGCUGGGUCGAGAUUCUGGCAAGCGCAAUUUCGACCUCACCAGCACCUUAGGGAAAGCCUUCACAGAAUGAAAUUCCCCACUUCAGAGGAAAAGAACAGGUGCCCCAAGCCUCAGUAUGUUAAUUCAGCACUUAACAGUUAUACGAACAUUCUUACUCAUUGGAACAAAUGAGAUGUGUGCCACGAUCCUAUACAUGUGUCUCAUAUCCUUCCUGCUGAUCCUAGUGGGAUUUACCCUUAAGCUUAGGUAUGCAAAGUUAAGUGCAGGGUUGCAUCCUGUGUUUUCAGGAGAAUGCCUUCUUGGUACUGGCACCCUCCCUGUGGAACGCCCUCCCUUCAGAUGUCAAGGAGAUAAAGAACUACAUAACUUUCAGAAGACAUCUGAAGGCAGCCCUGUAUCAGGAAGUUUUUAAUGUUUGAUAUAUGCUAUAAGCUGCCAAGAGUGGCUGGGGAAGCGCAACUAGAUGGGCAGAGUAUAAAUAUUAUUAUUAUUAUUCAUAGGACAGACAUAUAUUAAACUUGUAUCCAUCUAAAUGAAUUAACAUAGAGAAUAAAUAUAACAGAAGUCUGGAUUUUUAAUGGUUCCUCAGAAGUCCAAGGUCUUCAACAACGGAGACACAGUUUAAUUAUUGGAAACUCAUGUACUUCCCAGUUGUUUUGUACUACGUAAAGGGACGAUUUAUCUGGGUCCCCACUCAAAAUGUUUCAAGUUUUUCCUCUUGAUUUUUGUUACUCUUCUUUCUGAUUUCUAUUAUUAUUUCUCAUAGAUCAUCUUAAAAAUCAACUAUGAAUACUAAGAAAAUAAUUACACCUGGAGUUGCCAUAUUCAGAGAGAUGUUACAUGCCUUUGGAAAUUCCUAAUGGCUCCUGAUAAUGCUGUUGUCGUUGUCAUCAUUGGCUGACAAAGGUUGCCUCCAGAAAUGUAGGAGGAAUUAAAGCGUGUACCAGAAAUUAAGGUUUGCACAAUUAAAGUAUAUUAAAGUGUUUUGGCAUACUACCACAACAAAGACACUAAAAAAACCCCAAACUUUGUGGCAAGGAAAGUGACAUAAAUGUACUGAAAAGGUUUUGAUGAGCAAAUGAGUAACAUAUAAACACUAUUCAAGCAAAUUGUGGUGAAUGCUCAUAAUAACACGACCUCCACAUAAAUCAGAACAAAUGCUCAAUAAAUUCUAGACAUAAUCUAACCUCUAUGUAAACUUGUGCAAGUAAACCAGGAUGAAUGCUCAGCAGUGAAGGAAUACAACCAUGCAGUUUGCCUGUGUUACUUCACUGGGUAUGUAGUGUCUUAAGGUUCACACAUCUGCAGUGCCUACGUACAUUAGGAAAGUAAUAUUUACAUUAGAAAUUAAAUGCCUCAUGUCUUUCUGUUGCUAUGCUUCCAUUGCUAUUAUUAGGAAAGAAAUGUCAAAAGUAAGUGCAUUUCGAAAGUCAGGGUUGGGCAGAUGUGAAGACAUAAGAUUCCAAGGUAUAUUACCUUUUUUCCUGAAGGUAUUUAACAAUGCAGAUGACAAAAGCAAGCAGGCUCUGUGGAAUGGGAAUAUUCAUGAUCUUUUCCUGUAGCACAGUCACGCUUAAUAUCUGCUAUUACAAAUUAGGUGCCUAGAAACUUCUGGUGAGCACAUAGAACACUCCUACCUAAUCACUACCUUUUUUUGGCGCGGGUUGCUUUGUUGCUAGUUUCCUAACCAUGCUAUAUCGCAUCCAGGCUAAUGGGAUGCUGAUGACAGGGAUUCUUUCUACGCACUAUUGUAUUUAUUAGUUUAUACUUUCAGAUAUUCACUUCCCAAAUUAACUAUGCCCAAAUUCCUAUGAAUUCCAUGAUCUUAUUCCUAGAAAAUUUUCUGGAAGUCUUUUCUCCAGAAGGUACGCAGUUGUGCAAUUUUAAUUUAAUCCAAUUGAAUAGAUUUUAAUCCCCCUUUUCAAGAAAGUAUCCUCACAAAGCACAAUGUGUGAAUGAAACAACACAUAGCAACAAUAUAAAAAUGACAUAGUUUAAAACUUUAAAGCAUUCAAGAAGAGCAUGAGACACUUAUUCCCAGGGACGUGGGUUCAAGCCCCACAUUGGGCAAAAAGUUUCCUGCAUUGCAGGGGGUUGGACUAGAUGACCCUUGUGGUCCCUUCCAACUCUACAAUUCUAUGAUUCUAAUACUCAUAAAAUAGCCAUAAAAGCAUUCUGCUCUGUUCAGUCAUAGAACAAUACUGCUGAAUAAAAGCAGAUUCACCACCUCCACAGCCCAAUUAAAAUCAUUCCACAAAAGUGGCAGAGAACAAGUGCAUCUUCACAUCAAAACUUCAUUAGGAUGAAGGCCACCAGUGUAAAAGUCCUUUCCAGGAUCCCUGCAAACCUGAUAGUUCUCAUAGGCUGGUAUACAAAUUGUAUUUCCACAGACCUAAAGUGAUCCAGUUAUAAUCAUAAACAGGAAAAGACGGGCCAAUACCAACAUCUGACACUGGCUCACUGGAGGAAACAGACAAAAGCCACCACUCAAUGGCUGCUUUGGGUAAUUGUAGGUUACCUCUGUGUUUACUUAUGUAUUUACAUUGAUUUGUUGGUGGAGAACUAUGAGGACCUAUGCCGUGGGUCAAUAUUUUUGUGGUCCUGGAAUUCACCAGAUCUGUGAUUUUUACUGUGCAGUUUACCAAUGUAAGUUUUAAUUUGACAGUGGUUUUUUGUUUUUUUGUAAAAUCAUGCAGAUUCAAAAGGAUAUAUUUUAAUUCUGUUGGAUCUGAUAUUCACACAGAUCCCAUGGAAAAGCAAUGUGUGCCUGUGCUGGCUCUUUUUCUGUCUUAGGGGUGUGGAGAGUUUGCUGGGCGGGGAGAGAAGCAACCAGAGUAGGUGGUGCCCAAAGUACCCCCCCCCCAAUCCAGUUGUGCUCCUGGACCAAAAAGGUUGGCCAAGUGAAAUAUUUCCUUCUGAACUGGAAGUUUGCAGACCCUUCCACAGACGUUACUGGUGGGUAGAUAGACAUAAAAAACUUUAAACAUGGUGGCUGUUGUUAAUGUGGAGAUCCAGUCAAGUCUAUGACAAAUUAUGUCCCAUGUACUAACAUUCAAUGGAUCCUUCAACCGAGGUUCAGAUUUGCUCCGCCGUGACCCAGUGGAACAGGGAAGAAAACUUAACCAGUAGAAUCACAGACUCGGCACUGAAACUAAUCACUCGGAGCAAAAGUCAGUGUGGAUGAACCCUAAACCUCUCCUGAACUUUGCUGUCAGAUAAAAGUGGGAGUUAGGGCAAUCUCAUACCCAGAAGUGAAAGAAUGUUUAUCAUGUAUGCAUUUAGCAACCAAGUCAGAUUCGUUUUCGUAUGCACGUUUAUAUGUGAUAGCGUUAUUAUAUUGUAUUAUUUUAAUGGAAGCUGUGUUGGGAAUCCUUCUGGAUCCAUAGGUGGGACAAACAUCAAAUAAAUAUGUUAAUAAGAAA